RNAcentral lists this ribosomal RNA (783 nucleotides) under Triticum aestivum (bread wheat). RNAcentral's name for it is "partial small subunit ribosomal RNA". Lineage: Eukaryota; Viridiplantae; Streptophyta; Magnoliopsida; Poales; Poaceae. The record is from RNAcentral.
AUGAGAGACCCGUGCCCGAUCCCUUACCUCAUCCCGUCGACCCUCUCCCUCUCGUCUCCUAGCGCCGCCGCACGCUUCACACUAGGGAGAAGAGCUCUCGUGCUCGACGCCACGGGCGCACCAAGGGCGCCUCCCAUGACCGCCGUUGCCUGCUGCUGCCCUCCGCAUUCUCCUGUGCAUUGCCGCCAUCCAAGACCAGCAGGACGCCGCCGUAGCGCCGACCAGCGCCGGCCUCGACUUCAUCCUGCCCGUGACUUUCCUUUCGCCCCUGCCUUUGUCGUGCGAGAACGUGAGGAAGACGACCGGCGCCAAGUCCUGCUCGAGCACCCGCCUGCGUUGUUGCGUCGGUGCACCGCGUCGCUGCUCGUUAACUGCCAAGACCGUCUCCGUGGAUUUGUGCCAAGUACCACUACCGCCAAGUUCUACUCCGUACUGGUACGACUACACCGGAUGAUGCGACAAGCCCUGACAACGUGGACAUUUACUACGUCAAGACCGGACCGACAAGUACCCCAACAAUUGUGUACAACGACCGUCGUCGAAGACCCGGGUAGCAAAACGUCAUGUACCUAUGACCGAAGAACGUCAUGUACCUCUCCGAAAAACGAACAUGAACCACUACGUCCGGAGACCUCGAACCCGUCAAGUCCGACAACGAUUGUGUGCAACUACCAACGACGUGCAUGUUGCCAAGUACCCUCUCCGGGUCGUCAUGUUCGACUACCAAUAAACAUGUACCACUACCAUCGCCGAGAUCGCGAGAACCUCUACCGUCGACCCUAG